This 1542-nucleotide ribosomal RNA is filed under the name Escherichia fergusonii. Its description in RNAcentral is "bacterial SSU rRNA". It matches the Rfam family "Bacterial small subunit ribosomal RNA". Lineage: Bacteria; Pseudomonadati; Pseudomonadota; Gammaproteobacteria; Enterobacterales; Enterobacteriaceae. The record is from RNAcentral.
AAAUUGAAGAGUUUGAUCAUGGCUCAGAUUGAACGCUGGCGGCAGGCCUAACACAUGCAAGUCGAACGGUAACAGGAAUCAGCUUGCUGAUUCGCUGACGAGUGGCGGACGGGUGAGUAAUGUCUGGGAAACUGCCUGAUGGAGGGGGAUAACUACUGGAAACGGUAGCUAAUACCGCAUAACGUCGCAAGACCAAAGAGGGGGACCUUAGGGCCUCUUGCCAUCGGAUGUGCCCAGAUGGGAUUAGCUUGUAGGUGGGGUAACGGCUCACCUAGGCGACGAUCCCUAGCUGGUCUGAGAGGAUGACCAGCCACACUGGAACUGAGACACGGUCCAGACUCCUACGGGAGGCAGCAGUGGGGAAUAUUGCACAAUGGGCGCAAGCCUGAUGCAGCCAUGCCGCGUGUAUGAAGAAGGCCUUCGGGUUGUAAAGUACUUUCAGCGGGGAGGAAGGGAGUAAAGUUAAUACCUUUGCUCAUUGACGUUACCCGCAGAAGAAGCACCGGCUAACUCCGUGCCAGCAGCCGCGGUAAUACGGAGGGUGCAAGCGUUAAUCGGAAUUACUGGGCGUAAAGCGCACGCAGGCGGUUUGUUAAGUCAGAUGUGAAAUCCCCGGGCUCAACCUGGGAACUGCAUCUGAUACUGGCAAGCUUGAGUCUCGUAGAGGGGGGUAGAAUUCCAGGUGUAGCGGUGAAAUGCGUAGAGAUCUGGAGGAAUACCGGUGGCGAAGGCGGCCCCCUGGACGAAGACUGACGCUCAGGUGCGAAAGCGUGGGGAGCAAACAGGAUUAGAUACCCUGGUAGUCCACGCCGUAAACGAUGUCGACUUGGAGGUUGUGCCCUUGAGGCGUGGCUUCCGGAGCUAACGCGUUAAGUCGACCGCCUGGGGAGUACGGCCGCAAGGUUAAAACUCAAAUGAAUUGACGGGGGCCCGCACAAGCGGUGGAGCAUGUGGUUUAAUUCGAUGCAACGCGAAGAACCUUACCUGGUCUUGACAUCCACGGAAGUUUUCAGAGAUGAGAAUGUGCCUUCGGGAACCGUGAGACAGGUGCUGCAUGGCUGUCGUCAGCUCGUGUUGUGAAAUGUUGGGUUAAGUCCCGCAACGAGCGCAACCCUUAUCCUUUGUUGCCAGCGGUCCGGCCGGGAACUCAAAGGAGACUGCCAGUGAUAAACUGGAGGAAGGUGGGGAUGACGUCAAGUCAUCAUGGCCCUUACGACCAGGGCUACACACGUGCUACAAUGGCGCAUACAAAGAGAAGCGACCUCGCGAGAGCAAGCGGACCUCAUAAAGUGCGUCGUAGUCCGGAUUGGAGUCUGCAACUCGACUCCAUGAAGUCGGAAUCGCUAGUAAUCGUGGAUCAGAAUGCCACGGUGAAUACGUUCCCGGGCCUUGUACACACCGCCCGUCACACCAUGGGAGUGGGUUGCAAAAGAAGUAGGUAGCUUAACCUUCGGGAGGGCGCUUACCACUUUGUGAUUCAUGACUGGGGUGAAGUCGUAACAAGGUAACCGUAGGGGAACCUGCGGUUGGAUCACCUCCUUA